Molecule: transfer-messenger RNA, 360 nt
Filed under: Phycisphaerales
Lineage: Bacteria; Pseudomonadati; Planctomycetota; Phycisphaerae
Also listed under: 1 other name
Description: JACMLW01 sp014379385 Standard tmRNA
Rfam family: transfer-messenger RNA
About the family: Bacterial tmRNA, also known as 10Sa RNA or SsrA, is named for its dual tRNA and mRNA-like properties. Its role is to liberate the mRNA from a stalled ribosome.
Source: RNAcentral
GGGGCCGAUCCGGAAAUCGACCGGGCAGGUCAGGUAUGUCGUUGCGCGUCGAGGAGCAUGCCGGCCUCGUAAAAAGCAUGCACAACAAUAAUUGCCAAUAACAGCAAUUACGCUCUCGCUGCCUAAUUUUUAGGUAGCACGUCCCCCGUUUGAACGCCCGGUAGGGCGGGGGCGAAUGCAUCGGGCUUGGUCCGCAAGUGCCGCACGCAGGCGAAGCGGGCGAGAUGAGCUGGGUGCUGGACCCCAUUGGGAAGACUGCCGCUGGCCGUCCCGGGGUCGAGAUUAAAAUAGCGGAGACACGCGUGGACGUGACAUGCUCUGCUGUCUGGCACGGGGGUUCGAAUCCCCCCGGCUCCACUU